RNAcentral lists this ribosomal RNA (254 nucleotides) under uncultured bacterium. Its description in RNAcentral is "partial 16S ribosomal RNA". It matches the Rfam family "Bacterial small subunit ribosomal RNA", at positions 524 to 776 of the family's 1533-position model. The record is from RNAcentral.
UACGGGGGGAGCAAGCGUUGUUCGGAUUUACUGGGCGUAAAGGGCGCGUAGGCGGUCAGCACAAGUCAGUUGUGAAAUCUCCGGGCUUAACCCGGAAAGGUCAACUGAUACUGUGCGACUAGAGUGCGGAAGGGGCAACUGGAAUUCUCGGUGUAGCGGUGAAAUGCGUAGAUAUCGAGAGGAACACCUGCGGCGAAGGCGGGUUGCUGGGCCGACACUGACACUGAUGCGCGAAAGCCAGGGGAGCGAACGGG